Molecule: ribosomal RNA, 451 nt
Filed under: uncultured bacterium
Lineage: Bacteria
Description: partial 16S ribosomal RNA
Rfam family: Bacterial small subunit ribosomal RNA
Source: RNAcentral
AUUGAACGCUGGCGGCAGGCCUAACACAUGCAAGUCGAGCGGCCGUAGCAAUACGGCAGCGGCAGACGGGAGAGUAACACGUGGGAACGCGCCCUUCGGUUCGGGAUAACUCAGGGAAACUUGAGCUAAUACCGGAUACGCCCUUACGGGGAAAGAUUUAUUGCCGAAGGAACGGCCCGCGUCCGAUUAGCUUGUUGGUGAGGUAACGGCUCACCAAGGCGACGAUCGGUAGCUGGUCUGAGAGGAUGACCAGCCUCACUGGGACUGAGACACGGCCCAGACUCCUACGGGAGGCAGCAGUGGGGAAUAUUGGACAAUGGGCGCAAGCCUGAUCCAGCCAUGCCGCGUGGGUGAUGAAGGCCCUAGGGUUGUAAAGCCCUUUCAGCGGGGAAGAUAAUGACGGUACCCGCAGAAGAAGCCCCGGCUAACUUCGUGCCAGCCGCCGCCGUAA